GACGAACGCUGGCGGCGUGCUUAACACAUGCAAGUCGAACGGCAGCAUAAUUUGUAGCAAUACAAAUGGAUGGCGAGUGGCGGACGGGUGAGUAACACGUAGGAAUCUGCCCUAAAGAGGGGGAUAACCCGAGGAAACUCGGGCUAAUACCGCAUAAUCUCUGAGGAGAAAAGCUGGGGUAACCUGGCGCUUUAGGAGGAGCCUGCGUCUGAUUAGCUAGUUGGUGGGGUAAAGGCCACCAAGGCGACGAUCAGUAGCUGGUCUGAGAGGAUGAUCAGCCACACUGGGACUGAGACACGGCCAGACUCCUACGGGAGCAGCAGUGGGGAAUAUUGGACAAUGGGGGCAACCCUGAUCCAGCAAUACCGCGUGUGUGAAGAAGGCC
This 385-nucleotide ribosomal RNA is filed under the name uncultured bacterium. Its description in RNAcentral is "bacterial SSU rRNA". It matches the Rfam family "Bacterial small subunit ribosomal RNA", at positions 28 to 416 of the family's 1533-position model. The record is from RNAcentral.